UACGUAGGGACCGAGCGUUGUCCGGAAUCAUUGGGCGUAAAGAGCGUGUAGGCGGCCACUUAAGUCCUGCGUGAAAUCCUGCGGCUCAACCGCAGGCGGUCGUGGGAAACUGGGUGGCUAGAGUGCGGGAGAGGAGAGUGGAAUUCCUGGUGUAGCGGUGGAAUGCGCAGAUAUCAGGAAGAACACCAAUGGCGAAGGCAGCUCUCUGGGACGGUACUGACGCUGAGACGCGAAAGCGUGGGGAGCGAACAGG
Molecule: ribosomal RNA, 253 nt
Filed under: uncultured bacterium
Lineage: Bacteria
Description: partial 16S ribosomal RNA
Rfam family: Bacterial small subunit ribosomal RNA
Source: RNAcentral